Ornithorhynchus anatinus (platypus) is the source of this 82-nucleotide non-coding RNA. NCBI's taxonomy places the organism in Eukaryota, Metazoa, Chordata, Mammalia, Monotremata, Ornithorhynchidae. The record is from Rfam.
GCCGAAAAGACAGUGAUGUUUCCUUUCCAAGCACAUAUCCGAAUUGUGUGUGUGGACAACUUGAAGACUGAGUCUUUUCCUU